Long non-coding RNA from Triticum dicoccoides, 942 nucleotides. RefSeq lists it as uncharacterized. The transcript is spliced from 2 exons. The record is from RefSeq and is a predicted model, not a curated record. Lineage: Eukaryota; Viridiplantae; Streptophyta; Magnoliopsida; Poales; Poaceae.
AAGUCUGAAUCAAAACCCAAACUCGAAAUCCUUGAAACUGACACCCUAAUCUCUCUGAUCCUGGCUAAUCCUGGCUGAUUUAUGCUAACUGGUCGCUUUCAAGAACGGGAUCGCUUACGUGGCAGGGAUUAAGGGAAAUAAGAUGCCACAUAGUGCUGACAGGGGGCCCAACUCAGUAGUCAGCUCGUCGGCCACACGGGGAUGAGAAGGGGGAUUGAGGUGGGGAAUUUUUCAAGGGUUCGUCGGCGGCAUAAAUCAGAGGAGAGGCGGCUCCGGCAUGAAUCAGAGAAGGCAGGCGGGCGGCGGAGGAGGGCAGCACUCAGAUGUCUUCCUCCUCCGGCGCAGCGUACCCUAGAGGUGGGGGCGGGCGGAGGAGGGCAUACGAACCGGCGAAAAGGUGCCCCGCUGGAUUUCCUGGAGUGAUGACAACCCAGGAAGAAGGUACUAUUGCCGCGUCUAUGGAAUUAGAGAUGGUAGUGACUAUUUCCUGUGGCAUGAUUAUCCUUGCCCAUUCAUCAGGCAACUGCCUUUUGAUCUUCGAGAUGUACCGAGGAGGAUUGAGGAUGAACUCUAUGAUGGACAACAAGCAUGGCAGAGAAAUGUAGCAGAUGGUGCACACGGACAACAAGUUGAAGUGAUGAGGGAGAGAGUUGCAACAACUAUUCCAUUGAUUGAGAAAGUAGAAGAGAACAAUGUUGAGAUUGAGGCAUUGAGGGGCAGAGAACUGUAGCAUUGUUUAGGACUGCUGUAUGGCAUCAUGAUAUUUCUGUUAGGAGUAGUUGCAACAAAAAUGCUAGGUUAUUAGAUCAGUGAAUGUAAUGUGAGCUUUUGGAACACUGAAUUAGCAAGUGACUGGAUGUUGUAAUGCAUUUGGUACCCUUUUGUAAGACCAACUAGCAGAAUAUGUCCAUUAUAUAAUGGAGAUUUGUAGUAUUGUUGACA